UACAGAGGUCUCAAGCGUUGUUCGGAUUCAUUUGGCGUAAAGGGCGUGUAGGCGGCGCGCUAAGUCGGGUGUGAAAUUUCGGAGCUUAACUCCGAAACUGCAUUCGAUACUGGCGUGCUUGAGGACUGGAGAGGAGACUGGAAUUCACGGUGUAGCGGUGGAAUGCGUAGAUAUCGUAAGGAAGACCAGUGGCGAAGGCGGGUCUCUGGACAGUGCCUGACGCUGAGGCACGAAGGUCAGGGGAGCAAACGGG
RNAcentral lists this ribosomal RNA (253 nucleotides) under uncultured bacterium. RNAcentral's name for it is "partial 16S ribosomal RNA". It matches the Rfam family "Bacterial small subunit ribosomal RNA", at positions 524 to 776 of the family's 1533-position model. The record is from RNAcentral.